RNAcentral lists this ribosomal RNA (484 nucleotides) under uncultured bacterium. RNAcentral's name for it is "partial 16S ribosomal RNA". It matches the Rfam family "Bacterial small subunit ribosomal RNA", at positions 29 to 507 of the family's 1533-position model. The record is from RNAcentral.
AUUGAACGCUGGCGGCAUGCUUUACACAUGCAAGUCGAACGGCAGCGCGGGCUUCGGCCUGGCGGCGAGUGGCGAACGGGUGAGUAAUGCAUCGGAACGUGCCCAGUAGUGGGGGAUAGCCCGGCGAAAGCCGGAUUAAUACCGCAUACGACCUGAGGGUGAAAGAGGGGGACCGAAAGGCCUCGCGCUAUUGGAGCGGCCGAUGUCGGAUUAGCUAGUUGGUGGGGUAAAGGCUUACCAAGGCGACGAUCCGUAGCUGGUCUGAGAGGAGGACCAGCCACACUGGGACUGAGACACGGCCCAGACUCCUACGGGAGGCAGGAGUGGGGAAUUUUGGACAAUGGGGGCAACCCUGAUCCAGCCAUGCCGCGUGCGGGAAGAAGGCCUUCGGGUUGUAAACCGCUUUUGUUCGGGAAGAAAUCCUCUGGGCUAAUACCCCGGGGGGAUGACGGUACCGGAAGAAUAAGCACCGGCUAACUACGUG